This is a long non-coding RNA of Pseudopipra pipra, 861 nucleotides long. RefSeq lists it as uncharacterized. The transcript has 2 exons. Lineage: Eukaryota; Metazoa; Chordata; Aves; Passeriformes; Pipridae. The record is from RefSeq and is a predicted model, not a curated record.
GGAAGGGAAGGGAAGGGAAGGGAAGGGAAGGGAAGGGAAGGGAAGGGAAGGGAAGGGAAGGUGUGAGGAGAUCGCACCUUUUGGAGCAAAGUAACUCCCUGUGCCAAACCAAGGCUGCACUGAGGAAAUAGCCUGCAGCAAGGACAGAUUUAUCCCUCCUGAUUCCUUCAUGAGCUCAUUCAGACUCCAGCUCUAAGCCAGAUAGGUUUGCUCCCCCUGCUCCCACCCCCUGACACCCCCUCUUUUCUAAGUGGCAUUUUAGGGAAUUUUUAUAUGUAUUAAGCAAGUACUUGAAUGAAAUCUAAUUUUAGGGGAUUCCUAUGGAGCUGGGUGCUAGCAUCUUGCAGCAUUGCAGGGGUCACAUAAGAGAAACAAUUGUCUAGUUUUAAAGCUUUAAUAGGAAAACCAAACCAAAACAGAAAGAGAAACAGCAACAGAAACUGAAUAGAACAGAAAAGCAAGAGGAAAAGAAGGAAAAAAGAAAAAGUGGACAAAAAGGCAAUCUUUAAAGGCAGUAAGGUGUGACGCUCCAGACUGGCAGCUUGGCAAGAAAGAGCCCAUGGAUACCAACACAGAGGAAUCUGGAGGGCUCACUCUGACAGGCCGUCAGUAUUGGGAACAAAAGAAAUGAGACAUUUUUUUUUUUACAUAUUGCAGGCAUAUGGUCCCAAGACCAGCAGAAAUAUAUUUAAUUACUGAUCUUUGUGUGUUAAGAAGAAAUAAUGUACCAAUAGCAGUACCUUAUUUUCCCCCCCUCUAGAUUAUAACAAAGUGAAUUAAAAGAGGCCUUUAGCACAUACUCGGUUAAUAAUGUUGCAUUUCGGAUCCAUUUACAUUUGCAAAUAGAAUCUGAUCACUUAA